UCAGAACGAACGCUGGCGGCGUGCUUAACACAUGCAAGUCGAACGCGAAAGGGACUUCGGUCCUGAGUAAAGUGGCGCACGGGUGAGUAACGCGUAGAUAACCUGUCUUCAUGUCUGGAAUAAUACGCCAAAGGGGUACUAAUACCGGAUAUUCUUGCUUUUCAUAAGUUAUGCAAGCAAAGGUGGCCUCUGCAUAUGCUACUGCAUGAAGAGGGGUCUGCGUACCAUUAGCUAGUAGGUGGGGUAAUGGCCUACCUAGGCGACGAUGGUUAGCGGGUCUGAGAGGAUGAUCCGCCACACUGGCACUGGAACACGGGCCAGACUCCUACGGGAGGCAGCAGUGAGGAAUAUUGCGCAAUGGGGGAAACCCUGACGCAGCGACGCCGCGUGAAGUGAGGAAGGCCUUCGGGUCGUAAAGCUCUGUCAAGAGGAAAGAAGUGUACAAUGGCUAAUACCUGUUGUAUUUGACGGUACCUCUAAAGGAAGCACCGGCUAACUCCGUGCCAGCCGCAGC
Molecule: ribosomal RNA, 514 nt
Filed under: uncultured bacterium
Lineage: Bacteria
Description: bacterial SSU rRNA
Rfam family: Bacterial small subunit ribosomal RNA
Source: RNAcentral